Unclassified non-coding RNA from Chelonoidis abingdonii (Abingdon island giant tortoise), 179 nucleotides. The record is from Ensembl. NCBI's taxonomy places the organism in Eukaryota, Metazoa, Chordata, Testudines, Testudinidae.
AGACUAGCAUCCUGGAGACCUAAUGUAGCCACUGAACUGGUGCAAUAAUCAGCCACAGAAGUGCAAGCUUCUCCCACACGACCCUGCCUGUGUGCCUUCACCCUGACCUGUAGAGACUCUGCAUCUCUAGUCAUGAGAGCAGAGCUCAGUCUCCAUUGCCAAUUCAUUUUUUGGUCUCU